CAUUAAAGAGUUCUAUAACUCCCAAACCCAUGUGAACAUACCUAACGUUGCCUCGGCAGGUCGCACCUAUCUUGUAGCACCCUACCCUGUAGGGCCUACCCGGGAGGUGCGGGUAAGCCUGCCGGCGGCCCACCAAACUCUGUUUGAUAUUGAAUUCUGAACCUAUAACUAAAUAAGUUAAAACUUUCAACAACGGAUCUCUUGGUUCUGGCAUCGAUGAAGAACGCAGCGAAAUGCGAUAAGUAAUGUGAAUUGCAGAAUUCAGUGAAUCAUCGAAUCUUUGAACGCAUAUUGCGCCCAUUAGUAUUCUAGUGGGCAGGACCGUUCGAGCGUCAUUUCAACCCUUAAGCCUUCGUUGCUUAGUGUUGGGAGCCUACGGCAACGUAGCUCCUCAAAGUUAGUGGCGGAGUUGGUUCACACUCUAGACGUAGUAAUUUUUUAUCUCGCCUAUUAGUUGGACUAAUCCCCUGCCGUAAAACCCCCAAUUUAUCAAGGUUGACCUCGAAUCGGUUCAGACAAACUCGCUAAAUUGAAGCAUCUUAGUCAGCGAAGGAAAAGAAACCAACAGGGAUUGCCCUAGUAACGGCGAGUGAAGCGGCAACAGCUCAAAUUUGAAAUCUGGCCCUCGGGUCCGAGUUGUAAUUUGUAGAGGAUGCUUUUGGCGCGGUGCCUUCCGAGUUCCCUGGAACGGGACGCCUUAGAGGGUGAGAGCCCCGUACGGUUGGACACCAAGCCUCUGUAAAGCUCCUUCGACGAGUCGAGUAGCUUGGGAAUGCUGCUCUAAAUGGGAGG
RNAcentral lists this ribosomal RNA (792 nucleotides) under fungal endophyte. RNAcentral describes it as "eukaryotic LSU rRNA". The stretch from base 497 to 792 matches the Rfam family "Eukaryotic large subunit ribosomal RNA", at positions 1 to 299 of the family's 3401-position model. The record is from RNAcentral. Lineage: Eukaryota; Fungi.